AUGACUCUCAUCACCAUCCUCAUCUGGACGCUGGCCUGCUGCUGCUUCACAGGAUGCAGUGGUCAGGUGACUGUGACUCAGCCUCCAGUAAAGACAUCUACUCCAGGAUCCAUUGUCACUAUGACCUGUAAGAUCAGCCAAGAUGUAGGAGGUUGUAGUGGUGGUCAGUGUAUGUCCUGGUAUCAGCAGAAAUCUGGACAACCUCCAAAGCUCCUGAUAAAAUCUGGAAGCACACGUGCAUCAGGAACACCUGCUCGGUUUAGUGGCAGUGGAAGUGGUUCUGACUUCUCUUUGACCAUCAGUGGAGUUCAGACUGAAGAUGCAGCAGUUUACUACCGUAAGAGUAUUCAUGUCAUAAACAGUGCUGAUGUGUUCACACAGUGAUUUGUCGUUGUACAAAAACCUCCCUCAGUCAGACUGCAGAGACUCUGAGCUGUUACAGCAGGAACCGACUGUAGCUGGUGAAGAAGAAGAGACUCUGACACAGACCACUGAACACAGAGCUGACAGUAACCUCACCAAGCACUCAACACAC
Mugil cephalus (flathead mullet) is the source of this 535-nucleotide non-coding RNA. NCBI's taxonomy places the organism in Eukaryota, Metazoa, Chordata, Actinopteri, Mugiliformes, Mugilidae. The record is from the annotation of a RefSeq genome assembly.